Mesocricetus auratus (golden hamster) is the source of this 1114-nucleotide long non-coding RNA. RefSeq lists it as uncharacterized. The transcript is spliced from 5 exons. Lineage: Eukaryota; Metazoa; Chordata; Mammalia; Rodentia; Cricetidae. The record is from RefSeq and is a predicted model, not a curated record.
UUUCUACCCCAGCCACACUUCAACCGACCACAGGUGGCUUCUUUGCUUGAGUACAUGUGAGCUAUGGUUGGGUUUCAUUUCCGCUUCCAUUCUUAGCCCACCUUUGUUUGCCUCUGUGACCCUUGCUGGCUCUAAAUGGAACACAGAAGUCCUUUUCACAGUGGGCCUGGGCAUUUCUGGUUCCAAAGUCACAAGUGAAAUCUAAGAAGAAGGAAGAAGACAGUUGCUGAGUGUCUUACUCUGUGCUAGGAUCUCUGAUAGGCACCAGGACACAAUCCAAUUCAGAAAAGCCUCAGCUUGCAGCCAGUGUCCUCUUCCAGUGUCUAUGGGAUCCACACCUAAUGUUUUGAAGUCUCCAGUGCAGGCAGAAAGAGAUAUUUCUGGAAGAAGUUGAGGGAAUGGGGAGAGAAGGCUGCUUUGUCCCGAGGAGUGGCUCAAGACUUAGCUUUGGAUUCCACUUGGCUGGACACCAGAGAUUGCAGAUGCAGCAGUGAAGGAUUGGAAGCUGGAAGGAAGGAAACCCAAGUCAAGGAAUCUAAGUGGCUUCUGGAAACAGUGUUCUAGAAGAAAGCCACACUCAUGUUGCAGACUGACUGACAGACUGGUUGGAACCUCAUGGUGGCGGAGAGUUGGACACUGUGGAUGGUCCCAGGGCUCUCUACAGCCUGCUCUCUUCCUGGAGUGAGUUGCCUGGGGAACUUCCUGUAGAUAUGCAGCCCCUGCUCUUCCAAACCCUGGAGCCUUGGGCAUCUCCCUUGCCAUGGAUGCCUGUAGCAGCUGCUUCUCCUUUGGUGGCAGAAGGAGAGUUCCCACUUCCACUCCACACUGCUCUGAAGCCAUCCCUGAACGAGUGACCUGCUAAGAGUGCAGUUUUCUCUCCCUCUCUCCCGGACUUUGAUUUGAUCAGGCCAAAUCUGAAAUGAUGUGUGAAAGUAAUGAUAUUUGGUAAUUAAAUCUCUGGUGACGGCCACUGCAAUUUGUGCUACAUGCAUUGUUCAUAAGGAAAAAAACCCCGCAUCAAUUCAUUUUCUGACCGGCUACUCCAGGGACUGGCAAUUAGGGGCCGCUCAUCUCUCUAGUCGCCUCGCAUAUUAAAGAGCUACUGAAACGCAAA